GUACAUAAUUUUAGAUACAUUCACUGCUUAUGUUUAAUUGAUAAUUACAUUUAAGUCCUCCUUCAUGCACUUUUUAAUUGUGUCUUUUGCUAUUAUAACGUAACUCGCCUAAUCUUCAUAAUGGUCUGCACCUUGAUCUGUCCUAUUAAGUGUGAAUUAAUACGAUAAUAUAUUUAAUAUUAUCUGCUGGCGACGGCAUACAAAAUGUUAUAUGAAGUAGAUUUCCUUGGUGGUUAUCAAUUACUUGGUAAGUUCCCCUAAAUUUUAAAAUUACCGCCAUGCUAUUUGAGUUUUCACCAUCUAGGUCUUAGUGCUCAGUGUCUUUAAGUGAGUAUUGAAUAAAAGGGUAUCUAAUCCUUGUUUGUGGUCAAUAUUUGCUAUUAAUUAGGUUAUAUCAGUAUGUAAGUAUUAUUUCACCAAUAUUAUUUAUAUAACUGUAUUACACUAUUUUAGUUUAUUACUAUCAAAGUCUGACCGCGACUGCUGGCACUUUUUAAGUCAUAGUAUUUAUAAGUGGUUUAAUCUUAUUUGCGUAAAUUUUAAAUUCUCUUGCCUGGUAAUUCCUUUUGGUACCAUUAGUAUCCUAUUUUAUAUAAACGAUUCACCAU
Molecule: ribosomal RNA, 608 nt
Filed under: Euhadra dixoni
Lineage: Eukaryota; Metazoa; Mollusca; Gastropoda; Stylommatophora; Camaenidae
Description: partial 12S ribosomal RNA
Source: RNAcentral